Molecule: long non-coding RNA, 423 nt
Organism: Gavialis gangeticus (Gharial)
Lineage: Eukaryota; Metazoa; Chordata; Crocodylia; Gavialidae
Exons: 3
Source: RefSeq, a predicted model, not a curated record
CAGAGGGCGGCCAGGGGCCAGGACCCCGGCGCGCCGCAAGCCGCUGCUCUGGCGGCGCACCCACCCGCCGCGCCCGCAACUCUGCAAACAAAACCUUGGCGCCUUUCCUCCUCCCCUUACAGAAAGGGUGGAAGUUUCCAGGCUGUUGGGCCUUGGAGCCGCGCUGCUCCCUCCCUGCAAGGCACCGGGGUACUGCUGCGGGCACCCAGGCCAGGGCAGCACCCGCACAACCCCCACACAGGGGGUCUCACUGCCUGAGGUGCCAGCUCUGAGCAGGGCCCAAACUAGCCAAGGUUCUAGCGUCAUCGAUUUAAAAACAGGUUGUUAAGACCCAGAUUUCCACCUGGAGUCAGCAUCCAGAAUCACAAGAACAGGAAUCUCUUUAAUAUCAACCAGUUAUGUUCCAAAUCCACAAUGAUCUUC